RNAcentral lists this ribosomal RNA (253 nucleotides) under uncultured bacterium. RNAcentral's name for it is "partial 16S ribosomal RNA". It matches the Rfam family "Bacterial small subunit ribosomal RNA", at positions 524 to 776 of the family's 1533-position model. The record is from RNAcentral.
UACAGAGGUCUCAAGCGUUGUUCGGAUUCAUUGGGCGUAAAGGGUGCGUAGGUGGCGGGGUAAGUCAGGUGUGAAAUUUCGGGGCUCAACCCCGAAACUGCACUUGAUACUGCCUUGCUCGAGUACUGGAGAGGAGAUUGGAAUUUACGGUGUAGCAGUGAAAUGCGUAGAUAUCGUAAGGAAGACCAGUGGCGAAGGCGAAUCUCUGGACAGUUACUGACACUGAGGCACGAAGGCCAGGGGAGCAAACGGG